This 1429-nucleotide long non-coding RNA is filed under the name Capsicum annuum. RNAcentral's name for it is "long non-coding RNA (CANN_LNC006539)". The record is from RNAcentral. Lineage: Eukaryota; Viridiplantae; Streptophyta; Magnoliopsida; Solanales; Solanaceae.
GCCAAUCUGUUUAUAGCCUCAAUCUCCAAGGGCAUGGUUUGGCUAUUCUAGCUCAUAUUUCAAAAUGAAGCAAAUCAUUAAGUUUUCUACAACAUUCUUCUUUCUUUCUUUCUUUCUUUCUUUCUUUUGAUAAUUGAAAAAUCUUCAAGGGACAUUAUGCACAGUUCGAAACUCAGUGGUUAAUGGGCCCGCCACUUUAUCCUUCUCCAAUUAAAUACCAAGAUUUUCUUUAUGGUAGGGUUCAAACUCGUGACGUGAACCUACUCCACACAUGAAAAAUUAUUCUCUUACCACUAAAUCAAAGCUCAGAAUUUCCUAGUCGCUUGUGUUCAUGGAACUAUCAUUACAUGUGAUGAUCAUAAAGGGUUGAUCAAUUAAUAGCACCCUGUCAUUUUUAAAGCAACUAAAUACCUCUUAGCAUUAAAGGCGACAAAAUCUAGUAGUGGUACUUUCAUUACAGAAAAAAUAUACUGGAGAUUGCUAAAAGAAUUCUGGUAUGUUGGAACUGGACUUGUUCACCCUCCUAUAUAAUGAAUCUUUUUAAAUGUCCUAGGACUAUAUAGGAGACUUUUUCACAGAAUCAACAUUCUAAAAAUCACACAACCUUAUAUCAUUCAUUGUUAGCAUGGUAAUCCAGAUUUUGCCAGCUUUUUGUAAUAGCUGUUGGGAUGUUUCAAUGCGCAUUCUUAGGUAUAUCAAUUGCCAUGAUAAGAGUUUUUUAAAAGAUAGAUGAAAUGUAUCAAUUUUUUGGGUAUUUCACUGCAGGCUAGCAGAAACUGCCUUGGAUAGACAAUCCAUCUUAUGAGUCUCUUUAGAAAAGUAAAAAACAAAGAUGUGAUGACCAAACCAAGUGUGAACCUAGAGUAUCGAGCCGUGGCCUUAACACGUGAGCAAAUAUGAAAAAUUAUUUAUUCAAAAGCUAAAAUCUAAUGAUAAACUAAUAUAAUUAAGCCACUAUAAAAUCCACGUUUCAUCAAUGAAAGAGAAAUAGAUUGCUAAAAAAAUCUAUUUGGGUUAAAAUACUCAUUUUUGGAAGUUGUAUCCCCUCCCCAAAUAAUAUUUGAGUUUAUUCCACAGGUCCUUGGUUUUAAUGUGACCUAGCUGAUACUAGAGACAUUCAUGUACUGCCUAUUUACUAGUAUCUGAGGAUGUAAUAUGCUAUUGUGGUAGCCCCUACGAUGGAUAGUUUCUUGGAAUAGAACCUUUCCAUUGACUGGUAUAGGGUUUUAUUAUGACUGGGAUGUAGCAUGAUAUAUUGACUAAGUUUUUGAAGAUGAAACUUCCAACUUUUCUUAGUUUUGAGUAGUGGAUUCUUUCAAGUUUAUUAUAGACUGUUAGGAAAGCUUACACGAUAUGGUUAUUAUUAAGUAGCAUAGUGUAGAAUUGGUAACUUUCCAACUGCAGUAAGGUGGUAAGCACGGGUGGAGGG